UUGCCUUCAACUUUACUUGUUUCAGUCUCUGCGCAGACAGAGAACUGGCAACUCUUACGAGGAAAGAUGGAUCUGAAGUUCGAUCCAGCCUCCAAGACGAGCGACCUCCUGCCGUGAUCGAGUUUGGAGUUCUUAUCACCACCACCACGCACAUCGGUCAUCUCGUCCUGUAUGACUAAGCCCAAGUUGGCCGCCGAUUACUGCAAGUAAGCGUUGCCUCUACCCGCUGUCCACGAACCCUUCGUUGUGGCCAUGGUCGCGACGAGAGCAGGCUGAGAGAGCUAGCGAGAUAAACUCUAUUCAUCG
This 306-nucleotide long non-coding RNA is filed under the name Selaginella moellendorffii. RNAcentral's name for it is "long non-coding RNA (SMOE_LNC000909)". Lineage: Eukaryota; Viridiplantae; Streptophyta; Lycopodiopsida; Selaginellales; Selaginellaceae. The record is from RNAcentral.